GGUGUGGCUCAGUGAAAGAGUUCUUGCCUGGUAUGCAUGAGAUCCUGGGUUUGAGUCCUAGUACC
This 65-nucleotide transfer RNA is filed under the name Urocitellus parryii (Arctic ground squirrel). RNAcentral describes it as "Spermophilus parryii (Arctic ground squirrel) tRNA". It matches the Rfam family "tRNA". Rfam says of the family: Transfer RNA (tRNA) molecules are approximately 80 nucleotides in length. The record is from Rfam by way of RNAcentral. Lineage: Eukaryota; Metazoa; Chordata; Mammalia; Rodentia; Sciuridae. RNAcentral also lists the same sequence under 2 other names.